Molecule: ribosomal RNA, 330 nt
Filed under: uncultured bacterium
Lineage: Bacteria
Description: bacterial SSU rRNA
Rfam family: Bacterial small subunit ribosomal RNA
Source: RNAcentral
GGGCCCGCACAAGCAGUGGAGCAUGUGGUUUAAUUCGAUGCAACGCGAAGAACCUUACCAGGCCUUGACAUCCCCGGAACUUUCUAGAAAUAGAUUGGUGCCUUCGGGAACGCAGUGACAGGUGCUGCAUGGCUGUCGUCAGCUCGUGUCGUGAGAUGUUGGGUUAAGUCCCGUAACGAGCGCAACCCACAUCCCUAGUUGCCAGCAGUUCGGCUGGGCACUCUAUGGAAACUGCCCGUGAUAAGCGGGAGGAAGGUGUGGAUGACGUCAAGUCCUCAUGGCCCUUACGGGUUGGGCUACACACGUGCUACAAUGGUAGUGACAAUGGGU